CCUACGGGUGGCUGCAGUGGGGAAUAUUGCACAAUGGGCGGAAGCCUGAUGCAGCCAUGCCGCGUGUGUGAAGAAGGCCUUCGGGUUGUAAAGCACUUUCAGUAGGGAGGAAGGGUUGCUGGCUAAUAUCCAGCAACAUUGACGUUACCUACAGAAGAAGCACCGGCUAACUCCGUGCCAGCAGCCGCGGUAAUACGGAGGGUGCGAGCGUUAAUCGGAAUUACUGGGCGUAAAGCGCGCGUAGGCGGUCAUUUAAGCUAGAUGUGAAAUCCCCGGGCUUAACCUGGGAAUUGCAUUUAGAACUGGAUGGCUAGAGUACAGAAGAGGGGUGUGGAAUUUCCGGUGUAGCGGUGAAAUGCGUAGAGAUCGGAAGGAACAUCAGUGGCGAAGGCGACACCCUGGUCUGAUACUGACGCUCAGGUGCGAAAGCGUGGGGAGCA
Molecule: ribosomal RNA, 440 nt
Filed under: uncultured bacterium
Lineage: Bacteria
Description: bacterial SSU rRNA
Rfam family: Bacterial small subunit ribosomal RNA
Source: RNAcentral